This 370-nucleotide ribosomal RNA is filed under the name uncultured bacterium. RNAcentral describes it as "bacterial SSU rRNA". It matches the Rfam family "Bacterial small subunit ribosomal RNA", at positions 527 to 896 of the family's 1533-position model. The record is from RNAcentral.
AGAGAGUGCAAACGUUGUUCGGAAUUACUGGGCUUAAAGCGCACGUAGGCGGCGCCGCAAGUGUGGGGUGAAAGCCCACGGCUUACCCGUGGAAUUGCCUGGCAGACUGCGGUGCUAGAGUGUGGUAGGGGAGAGCGGAACUCCUGGUGGAGCGGUGAAAUGCGUAGAUAUCAGGAGGAACACCGGUGGCGAAGGCGGCUCUCUGGUCCACAACUGACGCUGAGGUGCGAAAGCUAGGGGAGCAAACGGGAUUAGAUACCCCGGUAGUCCUAGCUGUAAACGAUGGGCACUAGCUUGGGGUCUCCCUGUGUGAUCCCAGGUGAAGCAAAAGUGAUAAGUGCCCCGCCUGGGGAGUAUGGUCGCAAGGCUG